Molecule: ribosomal RNA, 1146 nt
Filed under: Triticum aestivum (bread wheat)
Lineage: Eukaryota; Viridiplantae; Streptophyta; Magnoliopsida; Poales; Poaceae
Description: partial small subunit ribosomal RNA
Source: RNAcentral
AUGGCGGCGCCGCCGGACAGCAAGUCUGAUAAAUCCCCAGAGGAGCUCCUGUGCGCGGCGGCGGAGGCCGGUAACGACGAUGCUAUCGCCGAGAUCAUUUCCUCUGGCGCCGACCCCACCUACUUCGACGCCUCCGGCAUGACGCCACUCAUGCGCGCGGCCUCCGGCGGCCACGCCGCUGCCGCGCGGCUCCUGCUCGAUGCCGGCGCGCCCUGGAACGCGCUCUCCCCCGAAGGUCUCUCCGCGGGUGACCUUACCUCCGACCCCGCCACAUACGACCUGCUCCUCGACCACGCCCUGCGCUCCGAGCUCAUCCUCGGCACCGUCGCCCGCCGCCAGGCGGCCUCCGCGAACUCCUCCGACGGCGUCCCCGCCGAGACCUACCUCGACUCGAGGGUUUCGUUCAGCGAGGACCGGGUGAUGGAUGCGGAGAGCAAGGCGGUGAUGAUGGAGUGGGAGCGUCCGCUGAUGGAGGCGCACGCGCGGGCGGUGUGCGCCGCCGGCGGCGGCAAGGUGCUCAACGUGGGGUUCGGGAUGGGGCUCGUGGACCAGGCGAUACAGAGGUACGAGCCCGAGGAGCACACCAUCAUCGAGGCCCACCCGGAGGUUUACGCCCGGAUGCUCAAGCUUGGGUGGGGUGAGAAGAAGAACGUCAGGAUCCUCUUCGGGCGAUGGCAGGAUGUGAUCCCGCAGCUCGGCUCGUAUGAUGGUCCAACAAGAAUCUCUCAGGAAGGUGACACGUGUCGCCUGGCGCGCCUGCCGCCACGGCCAAGGGGGUCCUUUUUGUCAAACUGUCUCAAAGGGGGUCUUUUCUGGCAAUUCGGCUGCACAGGUAUAUUCUUCGACACCUACGGGGAGUACUACGAGGACAUGAGGGAGUUCCACGAGCACCUCCCGAAGCUGCUGAAUCCGGGAGGGGUCUACUCCUACUUCAAUGGGCUGUGCGGCGACAAUGCCUUCUUCCACGUGGUGUACUGCCAGCUGGUGGCGAUGGAGCUGGCGAGCCUCGGGUACUCGACGCAGUUCGUCCCUCUCCCCGUCAGGGACUGCCUCAAGGCGGAGGUGUGGGAGGGGGUGAAGCAGAAGUACUGGCAGCUCGACACCUACCACCUCCCGGUCUGCCAGGCCGAAUCUGAAUCAGAGUAG